GACGAACGCUGGCGGCGUGCUUAACACAUGCAAGUCGAACGGUAAGGCCCUUCGGGGUACACGAGUGGCGAACGGGUGAGUAACACGUGGGUGAUCUGCCCUGCACUUCGGGAUAAGCCUGGGAAACUGGGUCUAAUACCGGAUAGGACCACUGCCUGCAUGGGUGGUGGUGGAAAGCUUUUGCGGUGUGGGAUGGGCCCGGGGCCUAUCAGCUUGUUGGUGGGGUGAGGGCCUACCAAGGCGACGACGGGUAGCCGGCCUGGGAGGGGGACCGGCCACACUGGGAAUGAGAUACGGCCCAGACUGCUACGGGAGGCAGCAGUGGGGAAUAUUGCACAAUGGGCGCAAGGCUGAUUCAGCAACGCCGCGUGAGGGAUGACGGCCUUCGGGUUGUAAACCUCUUUUAGCAGGGAAGAAGCGAAAGUGACGGUACCUGCAGAAAAAGCACCGGCUAACUACGUGCCAGCAGCCGCGGUAA
Molecule: ribosomal RNA, 478 nt
Filed under: uncultured bacterium
Lineage: Bacteria
Description: partial 16S ribosomal RNA
Rfam family: Bacterial small subunit ribosomal RNA
Source: RNAcentral